Molecule: ribosomal RNA, 429 nt
Filed under: Pseudomonadota bacterium
Lineage: Bacteria; Pseudomonadati; Pseudomonadota
Description: Proteobacteria bacterium partial 16S ribosomal RNA
Rfam family: Bacterial small subunit ribosomal RNA
Source: RNAcentral
UGGGGAAUAUUGGACAAUGGGCGAAAGCCUGAUCCAGCCAUGCCGCGUGUGUGAAGAAGGUCUUCGGAUUGUAAAGCACUUUAAGUUGGGAGGAAGGGCAGUAAGCGAAUACCUUGCUGUUUUGACGUUACCGACAGAAUAAGCACCGGCUAACUCUGUGCCAGCAGCCGCGGUAAUACAGAGGGUGCAAGCGUUAAUCGGAAUUACUGGGCGUAAAGCGCGCGUAGGUGGUUCGUUAAGUUGAAUGUGAAAGCCCCGGGCUCAACCUGGGAACUGCAUCCAAAACUGGCGAAGUAGAGUAGGGCAGAGGGUGGUGGAAUUUCCUGUGUAGCGGUGAAAUGCGUAGAUAUAGGAAGGAACACCAGUGGCGAAGGCGACCACCUGGGCUCAUACUGACACUGAGGUGCGAAAGCGUGGGGAGCAAACAGG